Molecule: ribosomal RNA, 459 nt
Filed under: uncultured bacterium
Lineage: Bacteria
Description: partial 16S ribosomal RNA
Rfam family: Bacterial small subunit ribosomal RNA
Source: RNAcentral
CCUACGGGUGGCAGCAGUGAGGAAUAUUGGUCAAUGGGCGGGAGCCUGAACCAGCCAAGCCGCGUGAGGGAAGAAGGUACAGCGUAUCGUAAACCUCUUUUGUCAGGGAACAAAGGCGGGGACUAGUCCCCGGAUGAGGGUACCUGAAGAAAAAGCAUCGGCUAACUCCGUGCCAGCAGCCGCGGUAAUACGGAGGAUGCGAGCGUUAUCCGGAUUUAGUGGGGUUAAGGGGUGCGCAGGCGGCCUGUUAGGUUAGCGGGAAAAGCCCGGGGCUCAACCCCGGCGAGCCGUUGAAACUGGCGGGCUGGAGUUGGGGAGAAGUACGCGGAAUGCGCGGUGUAGCGGUGAAAUGCUUAGAUAUCGCGCAGAACCCCGAUUGCGAAGGCAGCGUACCGGCUCCACACUGACGCUGAGGCACGAAAGCGUGGGUAUCGAACAGGAUUAGAUACCCCUGUAGUC